UACGUAGGGCGCAAGCGUUGUCCGGAAUUAUUGGGCGUAAAGAGCUCGUAGGCGGUUUGCUGCGUCCGCUGUGAAAACCCAAGGCUUAACCUUGGGCUUGCAGUGGAUACGGGCAGACUAGAGGUAGGUAGGGGAGAAUGGAAUUCCCGGUGUAGCGGUGAAAUGCGCAGAUAUCGGGAGGAACACCGGUGGCGAAGGCGGUUCUCUGGGCCGUAACUGACGCUGAGGAGCGAAAGCGUGGGGAGCGAACAGG
RNAcentral lists this ribosomal RNA (253 nucleotides) under uncultured bacterium. RNAcentral's name for it is "partial 16S ribosomal RNA". It matches the Rfam family "Bacterial small subunit ribosomal RNA", at positions 524 to 776 of the family's 1533-position model. The record is from RNAcentral.